GANGCGCNGCCUACCAUGCAAGUCGAGCGGAUGACGGGAGCUUGCUCCUUGAUUCAGCGGCGGACGGGUGAGUAAUGCCUAGGAAUCUGCCUGGUAGUGGGGGACAACGUUUCGAAAGGAACGCUAAUACCGCAUACGUCCUACGGGAGAAAGCAGGGGACCUUCGGGCCUUGCGCUAUCAGAUGAGCCUAGGUCGGAUUAGCUAGUUGGUGGGGUAAUGGCUCACCAAGGCGACGAUCCGUAACUGGUCUGAGAGGAUGAUCAGUCACACUGGAACUGAGACACGGUCCAGACUCCUACGGGAGGCAGCAGUGGGGAAUAUUGGACAAUGGGCGAAAGCCUGAUCCACCAUGCCGCGUGUGUGAANAAGGUCUUCGGAUUGUAAAGCACUUUAAGUUGGGAGGAAGGGCAGUAAGCUAAUACCUUGCUGUUUUGACGUUCCGACAGAAUAACACCGGCUAACUCUGUGCCACACCCGGUAAUACAAAGGGGCAAGCGUUAAUC
This 504-nucleotide ribosomal RNA is filed under the name Pseudomonas sp. SK01. Its description in RNAcentral is "bacterial SSU rRNA". It matches the Rfam family "Bacterial small subunit ribosomal RNA", at positions 41 to 546 of the family's 1533-position model. The record is from RNAcentral. Lineage: Bacteria; Pseudomonadati; Pseudomonadota; Gammaproteobacteria; Pseudomonadales; Pseudomonadaceae.